UUUGUACUCAGCCAAUGCAGUAUUUGUGCUCCAUGAAGGACAUAGUUCCAGAAACUCUCAACUGUGUGCCACAGCAAGGAGCAUCUCACAGGACCAGGGCCUACAAGAAGUCCAAGCUUAUUCCAGAAAGAAGGAGCAAAUUCCAGCAGCAAUACUUUUUCAAGUACUGGUUCUGUGAACCAUGAGAUUAAGCUAUGAUAUCACCUGUGCCUUAAGAAAUAAAUUGUCUCUGGGAAAGAUUUCCAAACUCUUCCCUGCAGCCACAGAAACAAGCUGCAGGUGCCUGUUUCAGUAUGCACUCCCAUAAUGAUGGAGCCUGUAAAUGCAAUUUUACCUCAUAUGUAAAAUAUAAGAUUAUAAUUUCUGCCCUGAUGCUGCUGUAGCCAAGUCAAGCAUGGGAAAUGCACCAGGCUCGAGAGAGGCCCUCCCUCUGGAAUGGGGAGGGUGCGAGACGGGAUGGGGAUGAAGUUUCAGGUAUAAAGUCAGGGCUCAGCAACAGAUGGGGUACGCCAUGAGCGGUGUCAGAUCUCAGCAGCGACUGAGGGAACGGUGACAUGCCCUCGGCUGUGAGGCACAGGCGGGAGCUCCUCUCAGGAGCUAUCCCGCAGGGAACUCCAGUAGCAGCCAGCGAUCUGAGCCAAGGCACAGCAGGGACUCGGACAGAAAUGAAACUGUCCCGGGGAAGGAGGAGGAGAUGAACAGCGGCGGGACGGAGCCAGGGCCCAGACCCAGUGCGGGACCGCUUCUCCCCACGGCGCUGCCACAGCCACCAGAGAGCGCGAGCGCAGCAGGGCUCGACGGCCACUGGCUGCCGCCGCCGUCCAUCACAGCGCCAUCGCCAAUAGCAACGCGAGGGUCUGCGGGGCUACCGGCGGGUGCGCUCGGCCCCGCCUGGGCCAAUCGCGUGGGAGAAGGUGGGCGGCGCCCCCGCCGCGCCGCGAAGACGGGGGGGCCAAGAUGGCGGUAAUGGGGGGGCCCGGUUGACACGGCGCUGCCUAUUCCCCGUCCCCGGGCGCUCUCCGCCGCUGCCCCCUCCUUGGCGAGGGAUCGCGGGCCACUCUCGCCGCACGGAGACGGAGCAGGGACGCGGGAGAGGCCCGCAAGCUGCGGCGCACCGGCCUCCCCAGCUCCUUCCCGCCCGCCCGGUCACCUUCCCGCGACCCCGGCGCGGGGGAGGCGUGGGGUCCCAGGAAACACCCUGAAGCGCGGUCAGGUGCCAGAGUCCAACCCGGCUACACUCCCAGAGAACCUUGGCCUGCCACACUGUGAAAAGAAAAACAGCCAUAAUCACGUUUCCAGCCAACACUCUGCUGACCCACGAUACAGGAAAAAUGCAGAGGAUUAGGAACGCUUUCCCUGGUUGCUCAGGCAACAGCAAGACAUGGGAAUAUGAAAAGUUUCAGGACUGCAGCAGAUGUCAGCAGAGGGGACAGCACUAUGUAAAAUUUUUGGAGGAGCCAGGAAAAUAGAGGAAGGAACUCAGACCAGGGAGUCAAACUGCAGAACCCAAGGCAGAUUUUCCAAUCUGAGGAUGUCCUCCCAGCUGCUGACCUACAGAGAAUCUAACCCCAGCACCUAACACAGGAGAGCUGCAGGUGGAGCUUCAGCCUGCACAGCACAGACAGCGCUGGUUACAGCCUUGCCAUAAUCCCAGCCCAGAGCCGAUGCAGUCGAUGCAGCUGGGAGAGCCUCGAUGCUCUCCCCAGCACAGAUUUAGUGAACAGAUGCAGUCUGGGCUGACCUCAGGCAGGCAGAGCUGUGUCCCUGCCUUGGCUGGUAGAGAUCAGCAAGACCAGCCUUGGAGGGGUCAGAAGAUUCUUCUUUCACAGUCACACUCAGCUGGAAGCCAAAUCCCUACAGAUUUUGGCAAAUCGAAAAGGGCAGAAGCAUUCUCCUGCGUUACUUUCUCAGCUGCUCUAGAAGGUGCAAAAGCCACUGCUGCAUAACGCUGCAAUAGGAAAUUUUCCCAGCAAUUCCCAGCAGAGGACAGCAAAUCCUAACUCCACAUUUUCUGCCUCAGCUUUGUACAGCAAUCAGCAUCAAGCCCUCCCUCCUGAGCUCUGUCCAUUCAAAACCACCACGCACCCCCGGGCUGCUUCUGCCUCCCUUCUUGAGAGCUCCAGAGAAGCUGAGAGUUUUACAGGGACCAGUAAAGAUUUCUUUUGAUGAUUGUUUUUUUCGGCUGGGCAAGGAAACUUGAAAGGAUUUCUCUCUUCCUUUUUUUUUUUUGUCCUGUCUUUAUUUUUCUUCCUGAUUUUCUCUGUGAUAAAAAUCAGGGAACGCUGUACAAAUACAAAUUAAAAGUCAAGUCUAAUCCUGCCUGAUUUUGCAGGACUUACUUAAGAAUGUAAGAGGCAUAAACACAAUUGGGCAGCCAAGUGAAUGCCCCACUGUAAACUGGAAGCUGGAGGAGAAGGACAAAACCUGGACACCAGGGUUUCAGGAUUAGUGCCAGUGGCAGGCCAGACUUUGCCCAACACCUAUGAAAACAGACACACCUUUCUUUUUUCUUUCUUUUUUUUUUUUUUUUCAUUUAUUUUUAGCUCAGCAUGUUAUGAAAUAAGGGCUCUGUUCAGAUACUAUCAAUGGACUGUUUCAUAUUUAACCUUUCAGGGCUGCCCAUCUCUGGUUCGUCAGUGCAAACCCAGCAAUUUCUGCCUUGUGCUUGCUCUUGCUUCAGGCACCUUUGCCUGGCUGAAUAAUUAACAGCAGCUCCUGCUGCUCUCUUGUAGCUGGGGUUCAUCAUCAGCCAUGAAGGAAGUCCCGUCUGUUACUGAUCCUGGUUUGCAAUAAUUUCUAUCCACUUUAUGAUUUCAAACUGGAAACUGUAUCAGGAGGGGGUUGUAUUGUCCAGCUGCUUCAGCUGCCUGGGACUCAGCAGCAAUGACGCCCUGUUCCAGCUCCCACCUCUGUAAUCACCGACAAAUCUCUUCCAGACACCCAGCUGUUGCGAGCGUGAAGGGACAUGUCUUUGGGCCCUCCUCCCUCCGCCUCCACAUUGGCAGAGGUGAGGCAUCAGGUUUCCUGACACGCCUCGGUGUUGUACAGGUGCCUCUGGGCUCUGCUGCAGGAGGGGAGCAGCCAGCCCCGCUCGGGCACGCCUCUGGCAGCCCCUGUCAUCCACAGCUCCCACUCUGCUGCUCCCUCAGCCCGGAAAUAUCCUCACGGGGCUCGGACAGAGGCUCAUGAAAUCCCUCCUCCAAACAAGGGGAUGAGUAAGGACUCGCCGAGCCGGGGAAUCCGAGGGGCAAGCCACAGACAGCAUCACGUCAGGCACGCAGGAGCAUCCUCUCGAAGCCAAUGGACAGCUCGUGACAAAGGACACCAUGGGGUCACAUCGAUUUUCUCCCGAGCCCGGCUUCCCAGGAGCGUGGGGAGGUGCUGAAAGUGGGCUGAGGCUCUCCAAGUGACUGCUGCGAGAGGUUCCAGGAGCAGCUGUGGGAUGGGAACAUCCCCAGAACGGUUUGUGCCCCAGGCUUUGCUGGGCGCGGUUUCAUCUCCUGCAGCAGCUCUCAGCCCUUCCUGGCUCUUCUCGGGCCCGUGCUCAUCACCGUGUCUGUGACCAACCAGCCCAGCACCCCCAGCCCACGAGCACCAUUCCCGGUAAGCAGAGAGCACCUCAACAUUUCCCUUCAGCAAGAGGAGGCUCAGGUGGGGCUCCCACACAGGAGGUGCAUCCUUCCCACUCCCCAAAGGAAGUGACUAAGCCGAGCCUUACCAAGCCAGCCUAGCUGCUUGCACAGUGUUCUACCAGAGCAGCCCUCCACCCUGCCCAGAGCUCUGCUCCUUCCAUACAGGCCACCUGCAAAGGUGUCCCUACAGGAAAAGCACAAUCAAGGGGGUGGGGAACAUUCACUGUGCCUGCUUUAUGUGCAACCACUGCAAUGGCCCUUAUGCUCUGCAAGCAGCCCUGCUGUUCAUAAACACAAACAGGAACAAGGCGCCGUGGCAGUAUCUGUGUAAUCAGCCCUGGCUGCAGCAGCAGCACAGCCAAGAAAUAAUCCACAGCUUGGCUGGGUCUAUAAAUACACCUGUGAGCAAGAGGUGUCACAGCAAAAGCUCCUGGUCCUUAAGCAAACAUGUAACUCCUGGGUUAUUUGAUGAACACAGCCCUUGCUCAGCUGCUGCUGCACACACAGGCAAUCAGCACCCAAUUAGGGAGUCCUGAAUAGCUGGGGCAGGUCUGGGCUGUACUGAGAUGAGUUAACUCCAGUGACCAAAUCAAACAGGAAAGUUUAGAACGGUGGAAAAAUGGACAAGAAGCCCCAUGGCAGCAGAGUUAACCUCCAGUCACCUUGUUCCCUCCCAGCCAUCACACCCAGGAUCCCCCACAGCACAGCAGAGAAAUUCACACCAUACUAAAACUCAACACUUCAGUGCAAGAGGUUUCCAAGUACCAGCAGUGCAGUAAAUCUGAAAAAUAGAUUUUAUUUUUAACCAGUGGUAUUGUGACAUCUUAUCUGGCAUAACCAAUUACAGCAAAAUCCAUGGAUAGAAACAAAAUAGCAGAUCUCUGCUUUUGGGUGCAGCAUCGUGCCCAGGCAGCUGAGCACAGCACAGCACUGGCAGCAGGGAGUUUGUGCCCCAGGGGCUCCCUCAGAGGACAGACUCCAAUGAACCAUUCCCACUCACACACACAGACACACCCACACACACAACACCGAGAGUUUUAAAAAUCUUUAGCAAUAUUUCCGCAUGAAAUCACACUGUAGCAUCUACACAGAAAAUGGCUGAUAAAAAUAAUCUUGCUGUAGGUUUACAUAGUAUAUCUACAUUUUUAUUUGAAUA
This is an RNA transcript of Serinus canaria (Common canary), 4788 nucleotides long. It is a transcript of the gene named collagen alpha-1(I) chain-like, with no coding region annotated. The transcript is spliced from 5 exons. NCBI's taxonomy places the organism in Eukaryota, Metazoa, Chordata, Aves, Passeriformes, Fringillidae. The record is from RefSeq and is a predicted model, not a curated record.